Ictalurus punctatus (channel catfish) is the source of this 2855-nucleotide RNA transcript. It is a transcript of the gene named peptidase E, with no coding region annotated. The transcript has 10 exons. Lineage: Eukaryota; Metazoa; Chordata; Actinopteri; Siluriformes; Ictaluridae. The record is from RefSeq and is a predicted model, not a curated record.
GCGGAUAUUAUGGUCACCAAAGCAGGGUCCCUGGGUGCAGAACACGACAAUGCGGAAGUAGGGCUGUGUUUCUGGGUUAAAUUGUCGUGGUCCUGACUGUCCUCCUGCAGGCUCGGAGCUGUGAUCAUGAACAGACGUCUGCUGCUGGUGUCCAACUCCACUCUGUAUGGAGGAGGAUAUCUCCAGCACUGUCAAAACAACAUCUCUCAAUUCUUCGGAAAACAGGUGAAGAGAGUCCUGUUCGUCCCGUACGCUUUACACGACCAAGAUGCGUACACCAAGACGGCCAGGGACAAGCUGAAGAGUCUGGGUUAUGAAGUGGACAGUGUUCACGAGGCUGCAGACCCCGUCGAGGCCGUGCGUAAAGCCGAGGCCAUAUUCAUCGGUGGAGGAAACACGUUCCGUCUGCUCAAAGCCCUCUACGAUGACAACCUGGUGACUGAAAUUAAAAAAAGAGUGCUUCAGGAUGGAGUUCCGUACAUGGGUUCGAGCGCCGGCACGAACGUGGCCACAGUGAGCAUUAACACAACUAACGACAUGCCCAUCGUUUACCCCCCCAGCUUCUCCGCCAUCGGCCUCGUCCCAUUCAACAUCAACCCACACUACCUGGACACCGAUCCUAACAGCAGGCACAUGGGGGAAACACGUGAGCAGAGAAUUACUCAGUAUCAUGAGGAGCUGAACACACCAUGUGUGCUGGGUCUGAGAGAAGGAUCCAUGCUGCUGGUGGAAGGAAACACAGUCACGUUACUUGGCACCACCAACGCUAGACUCUUCCAGAGGGGGAAGGAGCCGAGUGAACACGUACCUGGAAGUGAUUUGAGCUUUUUACUGACCGAUGCACAGUAAUGGAUUAAUGAGCAAAUCAGGACAGGACAAAGAACACCAUGGCACAGAUUUAUGAGAAAUGCUGCCCACAUAUGUUCUGAUUCAGAAGUAAAGGAUUGUCUGAGCAGUGUGGGAACCGCUCCAUUUUUCAGGAGUAGCCUUCGUGUGUAGCCUGCGUCAUACUCCACCCGUUUUCAGAAGGCUAAACAAAGGGGUUUCGCUUUCGUACUGAGACACGCAGCAUCUCUGCAACACGGCACCUGAGGUCACUGAAGCCACGCCUUCUGUCUUCAGGAUCGAGGCGUGGUCUGUUAGAGAGAAUAAAUCCCUUUGGAGGAGAGUUUUGGGACCCCUUUAAUCUAACAUGUUAAUAAACUGAUGAAUUAAAACCUCUUUAUUGUCCGUUUAAACCACCUGAGAGAUUCAGACUGAUGAGAAAACACAGCUGAAGUUUAAUCCAUUAUUUAUUUAUUUAAUUAAUUUUAGUCAUGGAAGCGUUACAGAAAUCACCUAAACCUCACUCUGAAAUAAAAUAAAAAAGGGAAAGAUGAAAUACUCGGUGAAAAACGUUAAGGAGUCGAGUUUUAAUUACUGACAUGACUUUUUAUGCACAGACAAAAACCUGACGCAAAUCCUGACAAGUUUAGACGAUUCAGUUGUUUCGAGUGUAAAUGUGACCCAAUAUGGGUAAAUUCAUCCGGCCGAGUGAUCAAACAACAGUAACCAUGGAUACGAUGUAGAACAGGACACUGUCUUGCAUGGAGUGUAAAAUAAUUACAGUGUAAGCACUCGUUAACAAAAUGAACAUAAACCUGCACUGUAGGAGCUCGAAUAGCCGACGUGAGCGCGAGUCUUUCCUCAGAGAAUCAUUCGCUAGUCAGCGUUCUCGCAAGAGAUGCACAGUUUGUUAUUUUAACGACGUUAGAAUUCAUUACAAUAAGGAAGAUCUGUUUUCUGUAGUAAAAUAUAUUUAAUUCUGUGAUGUAUUUUUUACUUAAAGAAGAUUUGUGUUAGCUAUGUAGAGGUCGUAAACAGAAAACGAUAAACACGUUAGGGUACAGGAUACCCACAAUGCACUGCGACUAUACUUCUGUGGGGAAUAGUGAGUGUUUAAGUCUUCAUUUAUUUUGAAACAAAGUGUUUUUUAAUAAUUCAUUAAUUUUGUAUGACUAAUAUGCGUCAUGGAAAGACGUACAAAUCUGUUUGUUUUGUAGAAAAUGGUGCAAAAAAAAAGAAAGAAAAGGAAAUAAUGUUCCAUAACAGUUUAAAAAAUACACAAUAAUAUAAUAUUCACCGUUCAAACCCCAUUCUGGAGUAGGGUGCCUACGUAGACAGCAUGUUUAGUGCAGAAGAUUGAGGGUUCGUGUCAGAAAAGGCAACCCCGUUAUUCACGUCACACUUUAGCAUCAUUUUAUUUGUACGUCGGCCAUUUUGACUUUUCAUCUCACGUCCUUCCUCUGACAUUUUAAUGUUCUGCUCAACUUGUUGGAAUUCUGAGCUUUGCAAAACUCUAACAAACGAUGCUGAUUAUUAGCUGCUAACCAGUUUGUUUACGUUAUUAGCGAGCGUUACCGUGACAACCGUUUGAGAAACAGUGGAUAUCUGUGCUACUGCUGAAUGGUUUUCAUCGCUUUGUGCAACAGUUACAACUGGCAGACUUUUUUUUUUAUAAGCUGUGCAAACGUUUCAGAAAGAAGGGCUUCGUUGCUAUGGUAACAGUCAGUGACUCCAUGUGACAUUUUCAAACUAACAUGGUGGACACGGCUACUAGAUAAAACGUUCACGAUAAUAAUCGCUUCCGUAGACAGCCUCGUCAUACACGGAAUCGGUUCAGGAACUUUUGUUCACUUGCCAUCACGACACGCUAACUAGCUUUAGUGCCUAGCGAGUUUAAUCCCCUUAAUCCCAGGCUACAUCCUGCCCCAAAAACACUUCCACCCUGCGCGUGAUUUAAUACAGUACUCCGCUAAUGCUAGUGAUGAUCGGAAAUAUCAAAGGACAGAAAGAACAUAAAGCAAAAUUACCGG